This 448-nucleotide ribosomal RNA is filed under the name uncultured bacterium. RNAcentral describes it as "bacterial SSU rRNA". It matches the Rfam family "Bacterial small subunit ribosomal RNA", at positions 335 to 797 of the family's 1533-position model. The record is from RNAcentral.
UUGCCUACGGGAGGCUGCAGCAAGGAAUUUUCCGCAAUGGGCGCAAGCCUGACGGAGCAACGCCGCGUGGGGGAUGACGCUUUUCGGAGUGUAAACCUCUUUUCUCAGGGAAGAAGGAAGUGACGGUACCUGAGGAAUAAGGACCGGCUAACUACGUGCCAGCAGCCGCGGUAAUACGUAGGGUCCGAGCGUUGUCCGGAGUUACUGGGCGUAAAGCGCGCGCAGGUGGCUCGAUAAGACUGGCGUGAAAGCCCCCGGCUCAACCGGGGAGGGUCGUUGGUGACUGGCGGGCUUGAGGGCAGCAGGGGCAGGUGGAAUUCCCGGUGUAGUGGUGAAAUGCGUAGAGAUCGGGAGGAACACCCGUGGCGAAGGCGGCCUGCUGGGCUGACCCUGACACUGAGGCGCGAAGGCGUGGGGAGCGAACGGGAUUAGAUACCCUGGUAGUCGC